CUUUUGUUGCGUCUUGAGAUUUGCUUCUCACGUCAUUCUUUUAAAAAAAAAUAACUCGAGCCAAUAGAGAGUUUUAAUUGAUUAAAUCCCAUUUUCUAGAACCCUAAUCUUGUGUCAGGGCUUACGAGUUGGGAGGUAAUCUUAGGUAAGCAAUUCCUAUGGAGUGUAGGCCUUCCCAAAGGUAAAGAAAGUGCGCAAAAGUUUUCUUGGGCGGGAAGAAAAUGAGCCAUUGAUUGCAAAAGCAAAAGGUAGCUUGACCAUAAGACCAGCGUGUCAAAUAGGGAUGAAAGUAACCGGCCUAAGUAAUCCGAUGGUGCCGAAUAAAAGAGCUGUUGCUUAAAAGAAUUAAAG
RNAcentral lists this non-coding RNA (351 nucleotides) under Eucalyptus grandis. Its description in RNAcentral is "Bacterial large subunit ribosomal RNA". It matches the Rfam family "Bacterial large subunit ribosomal RNA", at positions 2098 to 2463 of the family's 2925-position model. Lineage: Eukaryota; Viridiplantae; Streptophyta; Magnoliopsida; Myrtales; Myrtaceae. The record is from Rfam by way of RNAcentral.